Molecule: ribosomal RNA, 432 nt
Filed under: uncultured bacterium
Lineage: Bacteria
Description: partial 16S ribosomal RNA
Rfam family: Bacterial small subunit ribosomal RNA
Source: RNAcentral
AACGAACGCUGGCGGCAUGCCUAACACAUGCAAGUCGAACGAGACCUUCGGGGCUAGUGGCGCACGGGUGCGUAACGCGUGGGAACCUGCCCUUAGGUUCGGAAUAACUCCCCGAAAGGGGUGCUAAUACCGGAUAAUGUCUUCGGACCAAAGAUUUAUCGCCUUUGGAUGGGCCCGCGUUGGAUUAGCUAGUUGGUAGGGUAAAAGCCUACCAAGGCGACGAUCCAUAGCUGGUCUGAGAGGAUGAUCAGCCACACUGGGACUGAGACACGGCCCAGACUCCUACGGGAGGCAGCAGUGGGGAAUAUUGGACAAUGGGCGAAAGCCUGAUCCAGCAAUGCCGCGUGAGUGAUGAAGGCCUUAGGGUUGUAAAGCUCUUUUACCCGGGAUGAUAAUGACAGUACCGGGAGAAUAAGCUCCGGCUAACUCCGU